RNAcentral lists this ribosomal RNA (71 nucleotides) under Candidatus Pantoea edessiphila. RNAcentral's name for it is "Pantoea sp. SoEL partial 16S ribosomal RNA". It matches the Rfam family "Bacterial small subunit ribosomal RNA", at positions 1465 to 1533 of the family's 1533-position model. The record is from RNAcentral. Lineage: Bacteria; Pseudomonadati; Pseudomonadota; Gammaproteobacteria; Enterobacterales; Erwiniaceae.
UGGUUCAUGACUGGGGUGAAGUCGUAACAAGGUAACCGUAGGGGAACCUGCGGUUGGAUCACCUCCUUAUU